AUUGAACGCUGGCGGCAGGCCUAACACAUGCAAGUCGAACGGUAGCACAGAGAGCUUGCUCUCGGGUGACGAGUGGCGGACGGGUGAGUAAUGUCUGGGAAACUGCCCGAUGGAGGGGGAUAACUACUGGAAACGGUAGCUAAUACCGCAUAACGUCUUCGGACCAAAGUGGGGGACCUUCGGGCCUCACACCAUCGGAUGUGCCCAGACGGGCUUAGCUAGUAGGUGGGGUAAUGGCUCACCUAGGCGACGAUCCCUAGCUGGUAUGAGAGGAUGACCAGCCACACUGGAACUGAGACACGGUCCAGACUCCUACGGGAGGCAGCAGUGGGGAAUAUUGCACAAUGGGCGCAAGCCUGAUGCAGCCAUGCCGCGUGUAUGAAGAAGGCCUUCGGGUUGUAAAGUACUUUCAGCGGGGAGGAAGGCGAUGUGGUUAAUAACCGCAUCGAUUGACGUUACCCGCAGAAGAAGCACCGGCUAACUCCGUGCCAGCAGCCGCCGCAG
RNAcentral lists this ribosomal RNA (504 nucleotides) under uncultured bacterium. RNAcentral's name for it is "partial 16S ribosomal RNA". It matches the Rfam family "Bacterial small subunit ribosomal RNA", at positions 30 to 523 of the family's 1533-position model. The record is from RNAcentral.